GACGAACGCUGGCGGCGUGCUUAACACAUGCAAGUCGAACGGAAAGGCCCUGCUUUUGUGGGGUGCUCGAGUGGCGAACGGGUGAGUAACACGUGAGUAACCUGCCCUUGACUUUGGGAGAACUUCAGGGAACUGGGGCGAAUACCGGGUAGGAGCUCCUGCUGCAUGGGGGGGGUUGGAAAGUUUCGGCGGUUGGGGAUGGACUCGCUGCUUAUCAGCUUGUUGGUGGGGUAGGGGCUGACCACGGCUUUGAAGGGUAGCCGGCCUGAGAGGUUGACCGGCCUCCUUGGGCCUGAGAUACGGCCCAGUCUCCUACCUGCCGCAGCAGUCGGGAAUCUUGCACAAUGGGCGGAAGCCUGAUGCAGCAACGCCGCGUUCGUGAUGCCGGCCUUCGGGUUGUAAACCGCUUUCGCCUGUGACGAAGCGUGCGUGACGGUAAUGGGUAAAGAAGCACCGGCUAACUACGUG
Molecule: ribosomal RNA, 468 nt
Filed under: uncultured bacterium
Lineage: Bacteria
Description: partial 16S ribosomal RNA
Rfam family: Bacterial small subunit ribosomal RNA
Source: RNAcentral